CUGCCAUCUCUGUUCCUGAAAACCUCCCGGCCAGCUUCCAUCCCCACUGCUGGCUAGCGGACUGUGAGACCAGACUCAGCUCCCCUGGAUAUACUCUCAUCUUUACAA
Molecule: long non-coding RNA, 108 nt
Organism: Melanotaenia boesemani (Boeseman's rainbowfish)
Lineage: Eukaryota; Metazoa; Chordata; Actinopteri; Atheriniformes; Melanotaeniidae
Exons: 2
Source: RefSeq, a predicted model, not a curated record